GACGAACGCUGGCGGCGUGCUUAACACAUGCAAGUCGAACGGAAAGGCCUUUUCGGAGGUACUCGAGUGGCGCACGGGUGAGUAACACGUGGGUGAUCUGCCCUGCACUCUGGGAUAAGCCUGGGAAACUGGGUCUAAUACCGGAUAGGACCGCACUUUAGUGUGUGUGGUGGAAAGUUUUUUCGGUGUAGGAUGAGCCCGCGGCCUAUCAGCUUGUUGGUGGGGUAAUGGCCUACCAAGGCGGCGACGGGUAGCCGGACUGAGAGGUUGGUCGGCCACAUUGGGACUGAGAUACGGCCCAGACUCCUACGGGAGGCAGCAGUGGGGAAUAUUGCACAAUGGGCGCAAGCCUGAUGCAGCGACGCCGCGUGGGGGAUGACGGCCUUCGGGUUGUAAACUCCUUUCGCCAGGGACGAAGCGUUUUGUGACGGUACCUGGAGAAGAAGCACCGGCUAACUACGUGC
RNAcentral lists this ribosomal RNA (464 nucleotides) under uncultured bacterium. RNAcentral describes it as "partial 16S ribosomal RNA". It matches the Rfam family "Bacterial small subunit ribosomal RNA", at positions 28 to 508 of the family's 1533-position model. The record is from RNAcentral.